This 578-nucleotide long non-coding RNA is filed under the name Apteryx owenii (little spotted kiwi). RNAcentral's name for it is "lncRNA (ENSAOWG00000007587.1)". The record is from RNAcentral. Lineage: Eukaryota; Metazoa; Chordata; Aves; Apterygiformes; Apterygidae.
GAGCACAUGCUUGAUGUGGGUGGGCUGUGGUUUUGCAGGUGCAACCCGAGCGCUUGCUUUCUGUUUGUGUUUGCAGGUUUUGCAGGAAGUUGUGGAGAGGCACAGAUGAGCGUUGACAAGAGCCUGAGCAGGUACUGCGUGGGCCUUUCCCAGGCAUGGCUGAGGAUGUCAGGUGAGCAGAUUCCUGAUGGGUGUUGUGGGGUUGGUGAGUAUUGCCUGGCAGAAGAGUCACUUUGUUUUGCUUUUUCCCAGUGCUGCUGGUGUCCCCCCCAGGCACAAUGUUGGAGUCUGGGAUUGGUGCGGUGCAGGUGAUGAAGGUGAAUGUGGUGACCAGAGGAAGAUUAGAGAGGAUGCAGCUGCCAUUGAGGAUGCCUCUUGAAGACAGAUGGUGACCCAGAGCACUGUAGAAGCUAAGUUGAGAGGCCAUGGGUGUUGGUGUGUCUUGACUCUGUGUGUGUGUGUGUGUGUGUGUGUGUGUGUGCAUGUGUGUGCUGACAGUGAGUGUAGAGUGGAGGGCUCUUCUGGAUGAGUGCUUUGUAUGAGGCAGAGGCAGUGGGGUGUGCCUGGCAGAAGGUGAG